Molecule: long non-coding RNA, 1586 nt
Organism: Vulpes vulpes (red fox)
Lineage: Eukaryota; Metazoa; Chordata; Mammalia; Carnivora; Canidae
Source: Ensembl
GUCUGAUUGAGCAAAAGGUCAUCCUUACCUGUUGUUGAACCUUUUCCAUAUGAUUCCUGCUCUGUCUGCUGUAUCAGCAAUUUAAAUGUCUUUGUUAAUUCAAGUUGUACAAAAGCGUGUGAGAGUUAUGAUUAAGAGUGUGAAUGUGAGCUUUGGGGUCAGAUUUCCUGUUUUUAAGGUAGCUAUAUUAAUCGUAGCUGUAUAUCCUCCGCCUGGUUACUUUGCUCCUUGAAUAAUCACUUUCUUGCACUCACUUAUAGGAAUAAGGUUACCUGUUGGCUCAAGGCUGCUAGGAGGAGUGAGUGUGACAGCACACGGAAUGAGGAACAGUCUAUUGCACAAAUCAAGUCAUUGCCAUUGUGAUUGGCAGCAUCACUACUGCUCUGUUAUACAGACUUCCAUGCCACGUGACAGGGCUCAGAGAAGUUUACUUGAACCCUACCAGAUCCUGCAAACAGACUCGUUCUGGAGCAUCACAAGUACCCAGGGCAGAGUUUCUGCCCCAGAGAAAUGCAGGAAAACCAAACUGAUUCUGGGUGGGCAAAGUCAGUGGUCAACAAAGGGGCAAAGUAUAAUGACUGCAUAGAAUGGGAGCACUGCCCAGCCUGAGUCAUCGUGGGAACUUCACGAAGAAGUGACAUGAAGAAGCAAAGCCUCUCAUGAGUCACAAAGGAGUCUGAAACAGCUAGGUGGGGAUCAGCUAUAGGGAGUGAGAAAUGUGAAAUAUGAACAAAUGGCACAACCAGAUAACAUCAAAAACAAGUAUUUUGGUGCUGCUGGGACAUGAAAUCUUAUUGUCUGCUUCCUCCUACACGUGGCCAUGGCCUGGUCCUACGGUGCUGAAACCCUCUAACUCCCUUCAGUAGAAGGCAUCUCUGUCUGUGAAGAUGCUGUGUAUUUUCACCUUAAUUGAUGUCACCACCAACAUGAUUGAAACAGAGGCUGGAAAGCGAGACCGAUGGGUCAGAUACUCCUACUCGAUGGGUUAUUUAACUUCUCUGAGCUUUAGAACCUGUUUUGGAAAAAUGGGUAUAAGUGAAAGUACCCACCUGAAUUACUCAAGUGUGAAGUAGGAAGUAACCACUGAAUUACUAGAGGUAUGAAGUGAGCAUUCUAUAACUAGAGGAGACCGUGUCUUGCCAGUAACAAGCGUUCAAUAAUGAAGCUAUUGGUAUUAUUUAUAUUAAUGAUAAUAAUGUUAACAUUAAUACAGAUUAUUAACAUUAAUACCCUGUUAUUUAGCCAUUCAUUCUAGUGAAGAACCAGGGCCUAGGCAAGAACUCUAUGUCUCAGGCAUUGAUUUUCUGUUUCCCUCACAGCAAUGUGCCAGGGUGCAAAUGCCCCUACCCCUGAAAUCUCUCUUCUUUAUUGAUUUUCCUAAAAACAAAUAUCACAAGUUUUGGGGCACUCCUGGGAUGCUGAAUUUUCCUUAAAGUAAAGCUUUCCCUUGACAAAAAUGUUUUUUUUUAAAGAUUUUAUUUAUUUAUUCAUGACAGACACAGAAAGAGAGAGAGGCAGAGACACAGGCAGAGGGAGAAGCAGGCUCCAUGCAGGGAGCCUGACGUGGGACUCGAUUCUGGGUCUCC